This is a non-coding RNA of Meleagris gallopavo (turkey), 550 nucleotides long. The record is from RefSeq and is a predicted model, not a curated record. NCBI's taxonomy places the organism in Eukaryota, Metazoa, Chordata, Aves, Galliformes, Phasianidae.
CACUGAUUGAGCACCUGGUGGGAAGGCAGGGCCAAUCCAGGGGAGCGCAGGUGCAGGCAGUGCAGCUGAAUGACCGGAAGGGGUGAAGUCAGGAUUGACCCCUUCCCAGACCUUAUUCAAGGGAUGGCAGUGGAGGCAAAGGUAUCUCGCUGGAGAUCCUUCUGUACCUGAAGCCUUCUGCACAUGAGGAUGACAGGAACUGCAAUGCCUCGGGGGAACUGCAACCACUUCUGGGGAGGCAGAGAGCUGUGUGUAGGGAAGCUUCCACCAAGAACUCCAUGUUUGAUACUUAUAGAAUCAUAGAACAUCUGAGCUGGAAGGGACCCAUAAAGAUCAAGUCCAGGAUCUACCCAGGGCCACCUGAAAAUAAAACCAUAUGUCUGAGCAUUGUCCAGAAGCUUCUUGAACUUCUGCAAGUUUUGUGCCAUCACCACUGCUACAGUGAGCCUGACCAUCCUCUGAUGAAGAAGAUAAAGGGCUUCUUGGAGUUUUUCCAAUAACAAUGAUCCUCAGGGCAAAAAGGGUUUCUAAGCAGCAUAAAUGCAGCAGG